UGGAGUGAAACAUGGGAUUACAGCUGUAUUCAUGACGUGAAAUAGGGGAUUACACUGUUUUUAAAACGGAAAGUGAAUCAAUUAACAUAAUAGACUCCU
This 99-nucleotide microRNA precursor is filed under the name Nicotiana sylvestris (wood tobacco). RNAcentral describes it as "MIR6152 microRNA precursor family". It matches the Rfam family "MIR6152 microRNA precursor family". The record is from Rfam by way of RNAcentral. Lineage: Eukaryota; Viridiplantae; Streptophyta; Magnoliopsida; Solanales; Solanaceae.